Long non-coding RNA from Saccostrea echinata, 1695 nucleotides. RefSeq lists it as uncharacterized. The record is from RefSeq and is a predicted model, not a curated record. Lineage: Eukaryota; Metazoa; Mollusca; Bivalvia; Ostreida; Ostreidae. The transcript is spliced from 2 exons.
UCUGUGUUGAUUUGGACAUCCGAAAAUGAAGGAUUUUUUUGUUUCCAAAAGGAAAUCCUCUAAUAUUUCAAAGAAAUUACAAAUACAAUCUACGAUGGAAGAUCAUCGUUGGAAAUUUUAGAAACUGGAAACUGUACAACAAGCCAAUGUGUGAAAUGCAAUGUAGCAAAGAUGGGAGAAUUAUACUUUUUUUAAAGUAAUCCAAUCCAAGUAUAAAUUGUCAACACGCAGUAUAUCUGUUUGCCAUAUACAUAUUCAUACUGCUCAAAUUGAAUUCUUUGAAAAUAAAAAAAAUAGUAAAAAAAAAAAAAAAGUAUUGCCUAAGUGUUUUGGUAGUAUAAUAAUGUAUGAAGGAUGCUAUCACUCUUGUCAUAGAGGAUUGAUUUUAAUUUUAAAAAAAAUGUUUGGCAAAUUUUGUUCUGAUAUAUACCUUCAAAUUAUCAACAAAAAAACUUCAGAUCUCUUAUACAUAAUAGAAUGAUACCGCGUUGGGCAACUUCUAAGAGAUUGAAAACAGAUCAGAAUAUGUUAAAAAUGGUUCUCUAUGAGCACUAUAAUUACCAAUAGUUCUCAAUGGGUGCCAUAAUUACCACUUUCAUGAAUUAUCUCUUGGAAGAUGUAAUCACAUUGCAUAUUUUGCAAGAGAGUCAUUUCAGAUACAUUGAUCUCAUGACAAAGGAAAAAGUGCAAAAUUUACAGCUCAUUUCUUCUUGCUGCUUGUGUCCGUAAUGUGAUGGUAUAUUUACCUUAUUAUAUAGCCUUGUUUGUGCAAGUAAUCAAGAUAAAACUACCAGCAUUUUACUGUUGCAACUUGAGAAUAUCAACAAUAUGAGAAAGAAAAACCUUUACCUUCACAAUGAAAACUAAAUCUGACAGGAUAUCACCUUCAAAAUAAAUGACCAAAAGGAGCUCAAAAUCAAGGAAACAAACCAACAGAAUUUGUAAGUAAAUCAAUUUGAAAAGAAAUUUUAAUUCUUAGGAAAUCAACAUUGAACCAUCUUACUGAAACAAGGCUGUGGGGAAAAUUUUGGAUGUUGAAAUGUUCAUCUAAGGUAACAAAAUGAAACAUUUAUUUAGCAACAAACUUCAAACUGAGAAGACAAGUGGUGGAUAUGUAAGAAAUCAGAAAGAAGGAGGUGUUGUCGACACUCUGUUUAGUGGUGUACCUGUUGGAGACAGUGAAUUCAAGCUAAAAAUUAUUUUUUAUGUAAAUUACUAUAAAGCUGAAGUGUUAAAUAAUCUGAAAUGUUAAAAAUUCUCAAGUAUUAAAUUGUUAAACAUUAGAAUUUAAAAAAAACAAAAAAAAACCCAGAUCAUUUCAUGAAAAUUAAAGUGUUUUCUUUCUAAUUUUUGUUCUUAAUCAUUAAAACUUGGUACUUUUAUUUUUUAGGGUGAAUCUGUAGCUCUGCUGGGAGGAAAGAAUCCAAGAGAAACUUUGGAAGUCGUGGUAUAGCAUGUGCUGUUUAACUACGGAAAAGAUGUUGAGAAGUUCAAAAGUUUUGGUACCUAAAGGUAUUGUAUGUGUAGUUUGUUUCUUUUUGUUUGUGUUUUAAACUUGUUACCAUUUCUCUUACAGAUGGGACUGGAACUGUAUCAGAUACGAGAUCAGACUGUAAAAAACACCAGAAUUGAUGAAACCAUGUACAUGUACUUGGAAAUAUUAAGAUUUCUUACAAAAUAAAAAGUCACAUAUUU